AGAGUUUGAUCCUGGCUCAGGACGAACGCUGGCGGCGCGCCUAACACAUGCAAGUCGAACGGAGCUUAUAGAGCUUGCUUUUUAAGCUUAGUGGCGAACGGGUGAGUAACGCGUGAGUAACCUGCCCUAGAGUGGGGGACAACAGUUGGAAACGACUGCUAAUACCGCAUAAGCCCACGGUACCGCAUGGCACUGAGGGAAAAGGAUUUAUUCGCUUUAGGAUGGACUCGCGUCCAAUUAGCUAGUUGGUGAGGUAACGGCCCACCAAGGCGACGAUUGGUAGCCGGACUGAGAGGUUGAACGCCCACAUUGGGACUGAGACACGGCCCAGACUCCUACGGGAGGCAGCAGUGGGGGAUAUUGCACAAUGGGGGAAACCCUGAUGCAGCGACGCCGCGUGGAGGAAGAAGGUUUUCGGAUUGUAAACUCCUGUCGUUAGGGACGAUAAUGACGGUACCUAACAAGAAAGCACCGGCUAACUACGUGCCAGCAGCCGCGGUAAAACGUAGGGUGCAAGCGUUGUCCGGAAUUACUGGGUGUAAAGGGAGCGCAGGCGGGAAGACAAGUUGGAAGUGAAAACCAUGGGCUCAACCCAUGAAUUGCUUUCAAAACUGUUUUUCUUGAGUAGUGCAGAGGUAGAUGGAAUUCCCGGUGUAGCGGUGGAAUGCGUAGAUAUCGGGAGGAACACCAGUGGCGAAGGCGGUCUACUGGGCACCAACUGACGCUGAGGCUCGAAAGCAUGGGUAGCAAACAGGAUUAGAUACCCUGGUAGUCCAUGCCGUAAACGAUGAUUACUAGGUG
RNAcentral lists this ribosomal RNA (801 nucleotides) under uncultured bacterium. RNAcentral describes it as "bacterial SSU rRNA". It matches the Rfam family "Bacterial small subunit ribosomal RNA", at positions 8 to 822 of the family's 1533-position model. The record is from RNAcentral.